UGCUGCCCUUUAGGAGCUCCAAAUGUGAUC
RNAcentral lists this non-coding RNA (30 nucleotides) under Homo sapiens (human). Lineage: Eukaryota; Metazoa; Chordata; Mammalia; Primates; Hominidae. The record is from RNAcentral.